This 454-nucleotide ribosomal RNA is filed under the name Ornithodoros noorsveldensis. RNAcentral's name for it is "partial 16S ribosomal RNA". The stretch from base 328 to 454 matches the Rfam family "Archaeal large subunit ribosomal RNA", at positions 2542 to 2669 of the family's 2987-position model. Lineage: Eukaryota; Metazoa; Arthropoda; Arachnida; Ixodida; Argasidae. The record is from RNAcentral.
UCUGCUCAAUGAUUUUUUAAAUUGCUGUGGUAUUAUGACUAUACGAAGGUAUUGAAAUAAGACUUUAAUUGGGUGCUAAGAGAAUGGUUUAACAUGGAUAAGCUUUUUUCUUAUUUAAAUUAAAAUUUAAUUUAAAAAUGAAAAAGUUUUUAUAUGAUUCUAGGACAAGAAGACCCUAUGAAUUUUUCUAAAAUUUAUUUUAGAGGUUUGUUAGGAGAGAGGUUAAAUUAAUUUUUAGUUAAUUGGGGUGAUUUUUAAAUUUUGAGAAACUUUAGAAAUAUGUUUUUGGAUCCAAUAGUAUUGAUAGGUUGAAUAAAAUACUCUAGGGAUAACAGCGUUAUUACUUUGGAUAGUUCAUAUAGAUAAAGUAGAUUGCGACCUCGAUGUUGGAUUAGGAUACCUUUAUUAUGAAGAAGUUAUAAAAGGGAGUUUGCUCAACUCUUAAAUUCCUACA